RNAcentral lists this transfer RNA (65 nucleotides) under Ips subelongatus (larch engraver beetle). RNAcentral describes it as "tRNA-Ala". The record is from RNAcentral. Lineage: Eukaryota; Metazoa; Arthropoda; Insecta; Coleoptera; Curculionidae.
AGGAUAAUAGUUUAUAUAAAACAUUUAAUUUGCAUUUAAAAAAACUAAAUUUUAUAGUUAUCUUA